This is a long non-coding RNA of Saccostrea cuccullata (small rock oyster), 627 nucleotides long. RefSeq lists it as uncharacterized. Lineage: Eukaryota; Metazoa; Mollusca; Bivalvia; Ostreida; Ostreidae. The record is from RefSeq and is a predicted model, not a curated record. The transcript has 3 exons.
UCUUCAUUACCUACGACAAAUGUAAUCCCAUUAAUGGGUACUUGGUAAUAAAAUAAAGCAUGUUUUAUGUACCAGGUAGAAUUUUUAUGCAAUCAUUAUUGUGCAAUCGAGUUAAGACUUUGCUUGCAUAUAUUGCAGACAUGGAUUGAGUUUGAAUGUGAAAACUACUGUAUACAUAGUGGUGCUUAUGUCCAUUGGUUUCCAAGACCAGACAACAGAGUGAUGAGGGAACCAGCUAGGAAACAGAUGGAGAUGAAAGACUGUAGCCUGCUGAAUCCAUGCAGCUGUAUUGGUUCCAGCUGAAGGCUUCGGUACACCUGUCCCCAUCCCACUGGAAGCAUCAAGUGUGAAUCAUACCACUCAACAGUUCUCAACAAGGCCCAAAGAAAAUAAUGUAUAUCCAAAACAACAUGUUUUGUCAGGGUUUACCAGAAGUAUAUCAAAGACAACAGAAGCUAACAUUUAUUGUGUGUUUACCAACAAAUGACAAGCUCCUAUUAAGAUGUGGAUGAAGCAGCAAAUUAAUGGAGCCCAGAAGAGACAUAAUGCACCAGUGUGUCUAUAAUGGUGUAAUUCAAGAUAAGACAUUCCAGAAAUGUUUCCUAGCAUAAAUGCUUAGAAAUCUUU